RNAcentral lists this microRNA precursor (141 nucleotides) under Monodelphis domestica (gray short-tailed opossum). Its description in RNAcentral is "MIR480 microRNA precursor family". It matches the Rfam family "MIR480 microRNA precursor family". Lineage: Eukaryota; Metazoa; Chordata; Mammalia; Didelphimorphia; Didelphidae. The record is from Rfam by way of RNAcentral.
UAACCUCUUUGGGGUCAUAGACCCCUUCUAUAGUCUUGCAAAAUCCACAGGUUACUUCUCAGAAUCAUUUUUGUAAAUGUAUAAAAUAAGGUAUUUACAAUUACAAAGGAAAUGAAUACUAUUGAAACACACAAUGAAAAU